Molecule: long non-coding RNA, 685 nt
Organism: Liolophura sinensis
Lineage: Eukaryota; Metazoa; Mollusca; Polyplacophora; Chitonida; Chitonidae
Exons: 3
Source: RefSeq, a predicted model, not a curated record
ACCAGUGACAAAUAGCUGCCUUCUGUACUGUCAUAGGUGUGUUGGACUCGGUGAAGCUUCCUGAGGCACCGUACAAAAUACAAACGACAGGAAGUCAAGGUUGUGGUUAGUUAACAUCACAUCGGUAUGCGGUAGAAUGGAGACAAUUUUGGACAGAAAGGGAGAAUUAGACGACUUCUUAAAUCCCGGUCUGCUAUAGCGCCGUCGAACGUGGAAGCCCUGGGGUUGGAUAGGCUGAGAGGGAUGGUAGAUGAACAGGAAGUUCUUGACAUGCCAGAUGAAAUCGGUGAACAUAGGAAUAACCGUUCAGACAGUGUGCGUUAAUCGUGGCGGAGAGACACAUUUAGCCCGCUGAUGACCGCGACACGCACCACGUAGGAUUUCUAUUAUAUCGCUACGUCGCGAAGGACUUCUUCGGGGCUCACUUCUUCAGCUGGUGAAGAUUUCUGUCGCUUUCCAGUGGAAUCCAGUCACCGUUAGCAUCGAAAUGGAAGGCACAGCGAACGACACGUGGGACAAAUAUGACAACUACAGCGAUGAGUUUCACAGCGCCGACUAUCAAAUGUACCACCUGACAACCACGAUUGAUCUAUACUCACUUCCUGUCAUUUUGGCCUUUGGAGUUCCGGCGAAUAUCGUUGCGGUGUUAGUCUUUUCCAUCAAGUCUUUCCGACAAGCUUCCUGU